Vitis vinifera (wine grape) is the source of this 8260-nucleotide long non-coding RNA. RefSeq lists it as uncharacterized. The transcript has 4 exons. The record is from RefSeq and is a predicted model, not a curated record. NCBI's taxonomy places the organism in Eukaryota, Viridiplantae, Streptophyta, Magnoliopsida, Vitales, Vitaceae.
GGCUGCAAGAGGAAAUGGAAAUCAGAUCUCUGACGAAGGAGGGGUGGAGGAUCCACGUAGGAUAGGUUGAUGUCGAUCAAGGAUCGUGACAUCUCUUCCAUAGAGAAAGGGACCUGAAGAUUGCAGAAGUUAACCCACAAACAUUGGUGAUCUCUUCUUUCAACCAUUAAUCAGCCCAAAGCAGAGAGGAAAGAAAAUUCAUGCUCACAUGGUUCUCAGACAUUAUUCCCAAGGUAUGAUCCAGGCUAUUGACAAUAUUUUGCCAGUGUAUGUUUGAUGCUUGCUGUUUUGCAACUAUAUUUGAAUGGAUAUUUUUGGAUGACCCUCUUAUUGAUCUGGCCCUUGUGGAUCUGGGUGCCUACAAAUGGCAUUUUUGAAGGUAUUGUUAUGGUCAGGUGCAAGCUCUGUUGUUUUUUUUAAAACUGUGAAAUUCUUCUUCAUAUAACGCUUAUGUAAAAUGCUUACCUGUAUGCACAAGUUCAAAAAUGGACUAAUCUCUUUCUUUAAGCUAUCACGAAUCAUCCCAUAUAUUUUUUCAAGAUAUGCAGUUAAAUGUUGCUUAAACAGUAAGGCAGGGUACUUGGGUUCCACUUUUGAGUGCGUGUUUGGCUUUCCCACCAUUCCACUGUACCCACUUGAAACUCCCAUAGGAAAUGAAGAUGAGCGGAGACCCUGAUAAUGUAGUUUUAGUAUUUCUCUCACAUGCAUCUUUAGAUGUCAAAAAUUUUACUUGAAAGAGCUUACUUGUGCCAUUCUACCGAACAAAGUGGUGGGUGAAUUUCGGCUACGAAAUGAAGUCACAUUAGGUGUAUUGCUUGCCUUGAGUGUACUUUGUACAAGGAACAGAAGGGUUGAAGUUGUCGAGAGCCAAUAUGCUAGAUUACUGAUGCUUUCCUGACUCUUUCAGGGCAGAAUAAGGCAAAUUUAAUUCACAUGUUGAAUUGAAUUGAUCUCUUGCAAGGAUUUGCACAACUAGUCACCAACUGAUCAGAUUUGAAAUGGCAUAAGAAUACUACCUCUAUAGAUGAACGGAUUGUGUGGAUAAUCCUAUCAAAUAUAUUUGUCUUCUCUGCUUCAAAGGAUCUCCACUGAAGAAGUGCUUUGUACACAAUACAGGCAGCAACAGGCCUGUUCUUGUCAAAUCGCUUGUCUUCCAUGAGACACUUUAUUAGUACAUCAUGGUUUUCCUGGUUAUUAGGAAAGAAAAAGAAAUGAAUAUGUACUUGACAGUUAUUAGACAUUUCAAACAAACCAAUCUUAUUGGACUGAAUCAUUUGCUUUCUUUAAUCUUUCAACCAUAUACCUGUUGCCUGUCUGUCAGGGAUCGUUGUUUAGUUAGGAUUGGGGCAAAAGGCACCAACUCCUGCAAACAAUAUUCAUUAUUUAAGGCAUAAAUAACAUAUAUCUAGUUAUCUAUUGAUCACUGUUCUUUUCUGGAAGAAUAAUUGAUAAAGAAAUUUCACUAUACUUUUGUUGUUUGGAGCUCUUCUUCCAUUUUAUGUCCAUUAUCAAAACUCUGCACCACUAUAGAAGGUUAGAGACAAAUACAAUAGCAAUGUCAUCAAAAAGGGUCAUUCAAACCUAAUGCACCUUCACUUGUGGUGGAACCCUUUCAAGAGCGGCUACUUGCUCUAUGCUUGUUGGCUGGUUGCGGAGAACCUCAUUCUCUGACUCUAAAUUUGCAAUCUUAUCCUUGAGGCUGGACAGAAAGGGCAGAUCAUUUGUAUUUGUGUGAUGAUAAUUUUUCUUCUUGACAAAAAACCUAAUAACCUUUCAGCUCUGGUUUACAGCUUUGUUCCAUAAGUUCAUGUUACCAAAUGGUAAUUUAUACCACCAACUCAGUCCAAUCCUGUGGGACUGUUGAUUAAAAAAAUAUAGUUUUGCUUUAUUUUAGUUUGUUGCUUUUAUCUAUGGACAAUACUGCCACCAGUUCAUAGCUAGCUGUCAUGUGCUUACUAUAAUGAAAGAGUGUUUUUCCGUAGCUUUCCUACAAAAAAAAAAUGACUUCAUGCAUUUAAUUUUUCCUCUCUUUUUCAACACACAUAUGAAUUAACUCAAAUCUGUUGAUUUUCUAGCCAGGUGAAAUAUGUUUUUUAUUUACUUUUCCCUACAUUGUUUUUUAACUUUUCCCUAGUUCUUACAUUUUCAUUUCUUCAAAGAGGUCCUCAUUUGUUGAUGCAACCAAAGCCUGCUGCCGUAGAACCUGGUUCUCUGCUUCGAGGUUGGACAAGUUCAAUUCUAAUCUGAGGUAUGGCCCACAGUGCAAUAUGGUGUAUAUGGUAUUUAAAUUUUAAGUAGCUGAGUGUAGGUCAUUCACUUUGUAGUGGGUGAUAUCUUUCAAUAAACUGAGAUGUUUACUAUAUUGCAUGAGAGAUGAAAUACAUACCAGGCUUCAUCAAGAAGUGCAAUUAUGCCUCCUGGUUUCUGCAUGAGAAGACAUGAUUUUCCCUUAAUUCUUAAUAAUAGCCAAGUGAUACGGUCCUUGAGACAAAAAUAGUUGGUACCUUCUCAAUCAGAUCUAAAACAUCUUGGUUAUCUAUGAAUUCUACAUAGCUCCAGUUGAUUUCCUCUCGUUUGUACUCUUCUUGCUCCAUCUUAAAUACAUGCUGCAGGAAAAGAUGUUUUUUUUCUUUGUUAACUGCAUACAAAAAAUAUUGCAGUACAUAGAGUGUGAACUAUAUAUAAAAAGAUGUUUUUUUUUUUUUCAAUUUUUAAAAUUUUAUUUAAGCAUAUGUAAAAGUAUAGCAGUAUAUAGGGACACUGUAAACUGUAUCUGUAGAUCUCAUUCUUACCUGAUUAAAAUGCUGUUGCAACUUCUCAUUUGUCAGGUUGAUACAUAGCUGCUCAAAACUACCAGAUAAAGAAUAAAUUAUUAGUCUUCGGGUUUAGAGGUAAAAAUUGUUUACUUGUUCAGACUAUCUGAUGUACUAUGAUGUACCUGUUGAUCUUGAAGCUCUCAAAGCCAUAAAUAUCAAGAACUCCAAUUAUGCUUGUUGCAUUGGGAUCCUGGCCGAUAGAACUGUUUAUCUUAUCGACAAUCCUGCACCAAUUCAUAAUAAUGUAUACAUUGAAAUCAGGUUAGGGGUAGAAAAUGCACUCAGAAACCUAGAGGGCCUUGGAUAUAGAGAAGGUCUGAAAAAUUCAUGGACUUCUGGUACAUUUACUGGUAUCAUGUUCCCAAGCCACAGCAACUCAACUCUAUUGGAAGUUGGCUUAACUAGGCUUAAGUAGGCAAAUAUUCCAAAUUCUCUCUCUUCAGUUUCUUUGAUAAGUAACAUUUUUGAUAAGAAGGGUGCAAUAUGGGAAGUAGAUUUCAAACAAUAGUGGAUAGAAUUUUAGGAGAUGCAUUGGAAAUAUUAAGGCUUUGACCAUCUCCAGAAAGUGAUCAUUUUUCACUCUACAAAGUUUUUAUUUCUUAAAUUGAAAAAGGACGACUCUUGGUCCUUUAGGAAUCACUCUGAAAUCACCAGUUUUCUUUGCUCAAGAUUACAUAUGUACUUUCCAAAGCUUAAAUGCUCUCUAAAGGAAAAAUGACACUUCCCUACCUUAAGGUUUACCUUGAUCACACUUUGCCUCUUGUGAUUUCAAAGCAUGCAUGCAGCUCUAUCUUAGUGCCAUCUCCUGGGAGAUGAUAACAUUAAGAAUUCUUAUUGAAGGGGUUAGUUUGGUUAGCUUACCAAUCAAAUAGUCUGGAGUAUACUGUCUUUGCCAAGGCAUCACGACUAAAGACAGCUAAAUCUGGAUCCAGUGGUUUUGUGAUGUUUCCAUCAGGGGUUACUAUGACACGCUGGCACAGUGAGUCCUCCAAUGCCUUCUCAUCACACCUGAAUAGAAGCAUAUUGCGAGACAUAAUGAAUACAUAAUUAAAAGCUAGCAAUGAAAACUCCUUUAGGUGGGCUAACUAGAUUAGAGUUCAAACAUGAGUAGCUCUGCAGCUGUUCGAAGAUGGUAAAGUGCUUUCUCAUCCUUCAGUUUGGAAGAAUCGGCUUCCUUCCCUUUGAUGAACCCAAUGUUUCCGAGAUGCAGAAUUGCAGCUACCACACGGAAUAUGGCAUCCUACAAAAGGACAAUCUCACUAUGGUAAUUUUAAUUGUGGAUAAUGGGUCUGCAAUUAAUUUUCUUGUUUCUUAAUGAUGCCACAGGGUCAAUACCUGCUCAUCUUGACUGAUCCCUACAACAUCCAUGGCAUUUCUGGUUUCCAGAUACUCUCUUGCAUCAUUUACAUUUGCAACUUCAUAACAGUUAGUUUGGUUUAGAUAGUGGAAUGAUCUUGGGUCCCCUAACUUGAAUUUCUUGACAUCCUGAAAGGGAAUACUUCAGUCAGCUAGCUGUCUGUAUACUUGAUAGUAUAUAAGUUGGUGGUGUGUGAGAUGAAAUUUGAAUGCAUGAAGUCACCUCUGGUGGUGCUGCACAGAGCAUGUAAAAGCAAUGAUAGUUCCUUUCUGGGUCAGAGACUUGGCAAACACGUGACCUUUCGAGAAGAUAUGUACGAACUGCAGCCCCAGAGAUUUUCCCAUGCUUAUCAAAUUGGAUCUCGACAAAUUUACCAAAACGACUGAAGCAGCCAUGCAGUCAUGUGAACUUUCCUGUAAGUCCAACAAAAAAAGAAAGAGAGAAAAUAGAAAGGAUAUCUAGUUCACCUGGAAUUGUUGUUUUUCACAGUUUUGGCAUUCCCAAAUGCUUCCAAGACUGGGUUGGACUGAAGAAAUAGAAACAUAACAUUUGAUUGAAUCCAUAGAAUCACAUGAUAUAAAUGAAGUUAUUUUAACAUACCUCCAAAACUUGUUGUUCUACUGUUCUUCCCUCAGUACCUGAUCUGCCCCCCAUGAAUGCAAGGUAUCUCAUGAGCAUUUUUGUUGUCUCUGUUUUACCAGCUCCACUCUCUCCACUAACCAAUAUGGAUUGGCUUUUCUGUUCAUUUAUCAUUGCCCUGGUAUAUGAAAUUAAUAAACUAGCAUUAUUUAAUUGGAUUAUGCAUGCUAGAUGACAUGAUUUUCUCUUUAUCCAAUUGUUUAUGCAUCAUAGAAGUACCUGUAGCAAGUAUCUGCAACAGCAAAGAGAUGUGGACUAAGCUCUCCAAAAGCAGCGCCUUUGUAUUGCCCCAUCAUGUGGAUGUCAUACAAGUGUGGCAGUCUUUGAAAGGGAUUCACCGCUAUUAGAAUGUUCCCCGUAUGUAACUCACAUAUAUCUCAUUGAGAGCAAAGCGAGAAGCAAGGUUGUGUAGGACUCCUGGUUCAUGGAGGUAAGCUAAUUUGGUCAUGUCAUCGACCCCAGCAGGCGGUGCUUCUGUGUCUUUUGGGUAUAUGUUUGAAAUAUCUGCAACUAUCUGAUUGAUGAAGAAGCUAACUUUCAGCCUUUUUGUUUUCUGUUUUUCUUUUUUCUUUUGCUAGUAUUUUGAGAUUAGAGCAAAACUAUCAUAAACAUAGGAGUCAAUUUGAAUGCAUCAUAGUUUUCCUCAUAUAAACACACAUGGAUCUCUAUUUUUUCAUAAUUUUGGAAACAGAAAUCAGUGUAGGUUAGAAGUGAAUGACUUCUUGUCUCAUUAGACAAAACAAGGAUUAUCAUCGUCAACUACAGUUCUUCAUUUUUCUCUGAAGGAAAACCUAACAUUUUCAGUUUUUUGUCCUAUCAGAACUGUGAUUUCCAUUUCCAAAAUUCAAAAAAAUAGUAUUAUCCCCUUCAAACAAGAUAUUUGCAGUCAUCUAAUUCUCUUCUAUAUGUUGACUAGGUGUCAGUUCAUUAGUUCUGUAUUCAAACUCUCCACUAUCUAUUGGGCAUGCUAAUUAAUAACUCCAAUUGGGGUGUUAACCUGUGGUGUCACGUACACACACGACUUCUGAUGAUAUGUCUAACUAGAUAGCAUUCAUUAUGUUUUAAUUGAGUAAAAUUUGUCCUUUGGAUUCAAAAUUUUCUUUCCAUUUUGUUUACUGUUAAUGUUGUGAUAUAUAUUUUCAAAUGCAUGUGAUAUUCUUAUCUGCAAUAUGAACCAAAUGAAACAUAUUCAUUGCUAGAUCAUAUAUCCAGAUCCUUUCCAAUAUUAUUGGAUGUAAUAUUAGCUUACAGUUUUCCCAUCUGUAGUAACUAUUGUUGCAUUUCUGCCUUCAAUUCCUAUCACCUCUCCAUCAAUCCAUGCCGCAUCAGGAUCCUCAGCCCACGCAUGUGACCCAACUAUGAUGUUUACAGGAGUUCCCUUGAUCAUCCAAAAAAACAAAAAUAAAAUAAAAAAUGAAUAAAGAUAAUGAAUGUUCUUGCAGACUGACCAGAAGCGGAUAAAAAAUGAACGUAAAUCCAUGAUGAGGAAGCUUACCAUAACUUCCAAUCUAUAAGAUCAUCAAAACCAGAAUGGAAACGAGCAUAAAAUGAGUUGAAAAUCUAUAUGAUCUUCAACAUCAGAAUAGAAAUGGAGAAAUGCAGAUGGGGAGAGGGAGGGAGGAACGGGGAUAGAGAGAGAAAGAGAGAGAUGUGUGGUAUUCUUAAGGAAUGCUCGGGCGGUGGAUUUGCUGAAAUUGAAAGUAGAAAAGAAUGUUGAAAAAGAAUGUUUCAAAGGAAUCGGAAAGCAGAGGAAAUGCAGGUGCUGGCUACUCAAAAAGCAAAAGGAAGAGCAGCCAGCCCUCACGUCUCUCCCCCACACUGUCAAACUUUUUUUGCUCAUUCCACAUAGGAUGCUGACUUGGCACCAGAAGAACCCCCCUUAAGUCGGUCACUUGUGUGGGUCAAUUGCUUCAGCCACAAGGAGAAUCCCCUCCGAGCCAGUUGAUACAGAGUAUGGUUUUUUAUUUUUAUGCUUAUUGGUGGCUGUGGACCCAUUGCUUUGCCAUGGUCAGGUCAUUUUGUUCCCAAUUAUAAUUAUGGUGUCCAUUAGCAAGCACAAUGGUAGUAGUAACUUUAGUUGGAUUAGUUUUAAAAUUGAAAAGCAAGCCUGUUUUGAACAGUUGUUAGGCUAGCUUUCUCUUAAAUCAAUAGAAUUAAAGAUGGCUAGUCAUCAUCUGCUAUGUGAAAUGACUUAAAAAAGGAAUGUCCCAACUGAAUGACUAUGUUCAGCGUGACUAAACUUUGCUUUUGUUGUAUUAAAUUGGGAUGGGCGAGAAAUGAUAUGGCUGAAAAGCAAUGUUGAAAUGCUACCGACGAUCAUUGAACAUGUUACCAUUUUGUGGACGGUGAAGUUUGAGUCCCACCUGUGGCAUCACAGCGAUGUGGAGCACACAUUCUAGUUUGGUAGCUUUUAAAAUCCUUGGCCGACUAGUGCUGUGCUGUGGGGUGGUCUGGCUUUUUGGACGGUGGAGACGAAAAAUCUUUCCUCAGAUGCCGGUGCGGUUGGCCGUUGUGGGACCAGUAAAAGCCCUCUCUUGCUGGCUUUCCAACCAAGCUCUCUGACCUUUUCCUUUUGCUUGUUAUUUUUAAAUUGAAUCGAUUAUUGAUAAUCAUUACUAUUCUAUUCAUGCUUAUUUAUUAAGGCAGAAGGGAGGGAAAUAACCUGCACUGCAUGUGGCCAUUAAACAUAAAUCCAUGUUGCCUCUGAACACAUUUUGACACCGUGGCUGAGCUCAUAUAUAAGUUGCCUCUCUGCUGCUGCCGAUGAGUUAUGCGCUACCCUCUGUCAUGUUCCCACUGGCAAAUUCUGAGGUCAUCUGUACUAGGCGAAGCAGGACUAUGGUCAGGCCUUUUCCCCUUUUUAUUUCCAUUCUUUACUUUUGGACAUGGUAAAACUUCCUCCUUUUAAAGCUAUUUGUGGAUGUAAACCAUAGAUAUGUUUAUUUGUAUCCACAAUUCCUUUUUCUUCUUAGUUAUGGUUUAGUUUUUGAUAGACUCGAGUCUAUGUUUGGGUCAAGGUUGGUAAUUCUCAGUUGAUGACGAUGCAAAUUUGAUUGUGGAGGUACAUGACGGAUUAUUCUGUUGAGAUCAGAAAAGACACGGCUGCAAAUGCAUAGAGCAAAAUUGUGUGCAAGGUACUGCGCAUUUGCACGAAGAUUGUUCCAACAAUACUUGCUCGCAUGCAAAACAUGUACAAGAAAACCUAGAGAAAAAGUAGAGGCCAUUUUGUGAAUUCUUGCUAGCAAACAAACAUACGCAAAGGACUUGCGAAUAUCUGUAAAAAGGUCCAUGGAGCAAAUUUUAGUUAAUUAAUAAGAUUUUAGCUGAUGCUAUUAUGUUUGUGUUGUUAUAGAGUGUAGCCAUAAAUAGAGUUUCAUCACCCCGUUUGUAAUUAAUUAUGUGAAGAACUCAUGCGUAAUUGAGAGAAUUCUAGUUUUUGAAAGGAUAA